RNAcentral lists this long non-coding RNA (334 nucleotides) under Mustela putorius furo (domestic ferret). RNAcentral describes it as "lncRNA (ENSMPUG00000024868.1)". The record is from RNAcentral. Lineage: Eukaryota; Metazoa; Chordata; Mammalia; Carnivora; Mustelidae.
ACCCCACUCGCUUCCAUCUCCGCGGUCUCCCCGGUCUCCCCUCCCACCCCCUACCCCUCCUCCGCCAGCCGCGUCCUCCCGGGCUCGGUGAGGAACUGUUCCUGGAGGAGCCGCGGGACGCCGAAACCAGCCAAUGGGAAGAGGCGAGACGCGGAGAUUGGCACGGUGGAUGGGAAGGUUCUCAGACUGUGCUUCCCAGACCAGCAGCAUUAGCAUCACCUGGGAACUUUUUAGAAAUGAAAAUGCUGGGGCCUCACCCUGGACCUACUCAAAAAGAAACUUCGACGUGGGGACCCACAAUUUGGUUUUGACAAGGAGGUCAUCUCGAAUGUGA